CUGACGGCAACGCCCUGGCCUAGGAUGAGGCUCAAGGCUCAAGGUACUGGAAAAUAUUUUAUUGCGACUUCUUUUACGUAGCCGAAGAAGAAAUAUAACUUUUAACAAUGAAGGAUGCGCCAUAAAUUAAAAAUUCCAAACUUAAAAACGUAACAAUAAAUACACGACGAUACAACGGCAAACAGGACAUGCAGUUGAUUUAUUUCUACGUCGGAAAAUCUGAGCUCAACCCAGCAAACCGAAGCAUUCAGUUGCAAUGCCAAUCCCAAUCUCGAUAUACUCAGUCCAGUCCCAGUCUCUCAUCUCCCCAGUGAUGCCAAGGUGCUGCUCAAAGAGACGGAAGUAUUUAUUUCAUAAUCGUUAUAAGAUAAUGAACAAAAUCUAUGAGAAUUGAAAUAAAACAUCGAAGUGAAUGAUAAUGGAAAGAGUGCAGAGCAUAAAAAAUGGCAAGGAAUGAAACCGAAAACACAUAAAAUACGUGGCGCAUAUUAAAUUCUUAUAAAAUCAGGACGCAGGAUACGCGGCAAUGUGCGAUUCGAGGACAUGACGAGAGGAACCUCAUGCUGCUGCUGUCGUUGAUGCCACGCAGAGUGAUAUUAAAAACUUGUUGCUAAUAAAAGAUACGGAUA
This is a long non-coding RNA of Drosophila nasuta, 629 nucleotides long. RefSeq lists it as uncharacterized. NCBI's taxonomy places the organism in Eukaryota, Metazoa, Arthropoda, Insecta, Diptera, Drosophilidae. The transcript is spliced from 4 exons. The record is from RefSeq and is a predicted model, not a curated record.